This is a long non-coding RNA of Dermacentor silvarum, 534 nucleotides long. RefSeq lists it as uncharacterized. The record is from RefSeq and is a predicted model, not a curated record. NCBI's taxonomy places the organism in Eukaryota, Metazoa, Arthropoda, Arachnida, Ixodida, Ixodidae. The transcript is spliced from 3 exons.
UUUGAGACACUGUGCCAAGUGUCUCUCAACAGACAAUGCUGAAGGUUCGUGUCGAAGCCCUUUUCAGGCCUGCCGCCAGCUAGAACCACAAGAAAUCUAGCAAGCAUCCUAAGCUACAUCACAAGCCAUUUGAUCUGAGCCACUGAAAACGCUUCUGCUAAAAUGGUGCAACACUGAAUAGAUAGGAGGAAGAGCAACCUACGGUGUACGAGGGAUUGCAUGCUUACCUUUGGGAGGCAUACGUAUUUCCCCAUUUUGAUACUGAUACGUUCGCAAGGCGCUUCAAAGGUACCUUGCAGGCAUGUACCAAAGAGAACGCAGGUGAUGGUGACGGAGUGGCAGUUACAAGCACGGAUGAAGAGGCAAACGGCGUUUUAAUCGCUGCUUGUUGAAAAGCACAUGGAAGACGAAUGAUUCAAGAUUGAGUGCGAUCUCGCAAUGAGCAAAUGUCAGGGCAGACGUCACUUCAGUGGAUAUGAAAAGGAAGGCUGAAUAGCUAGUUCUUAUGUAAAUAAAGAUUCUUCAUUGUGAAUA